CGAAGGCUCCAAAGGAAGUCACGGCUAACUCUGUGCCAGCAGCCGCGGUAAUACAGAGGUGGCAAGCGUUGUUCGGAAUUAUUGGGCGUAAAGAGCACGUAGGUGGGUUUGUAAGUCAGAUGUGAAAGCCUCCUGUUCAACGGGAGAAUUGCAUCUGAAACUACUGAUCUUGAGUAUAGGAGGGGGGAAUGGAACUUCUGGUGGAGCGGUGAAAUGCGUGGAUAUCAGAAGGAACGCCGGCGGCGAAAGCGAUUCUCUGGCCUAUUACUGACACUCAGUGUGCGAAAGCUAGGGGAGCAAACGGGAUUAGAUACCCCGGUAGUCCUAGCCGUAAA
RNAcentral lists this ribosomal RNA (335 nucleotides) under uncultured Planctomycetales bacterium. RNAcentral describes it as "bacterial SSU rRNA". It matches the Rfam family "Bacterial small subunit ribosomal RNA", at positions 473 to 806 of the family's 1533-position model. Lineage: Bacteria; Pseudomonadati; Planctomycetota; Planctomycetia; Planctomycetales. The record is from RNAcentral.